This 896-nucleotide long non-coding RNA is filed under the name Homo sapiens (human). Its description in RNAcentral is "HSALNT0254268". The record is from RNAcentral. Lineage: Eukaryota; Metazoa; Chordata; Mammalia; Primates; Hominidae.
GUGGUCCAGGCCCCGCCUCCGCCCGGCGCUCGGGCGGGAACCCGGGCGCAUCCGCACGUGCGGGCGCUGCUGCAGGUGUGUGCGGCUCAGCCCCUGCCUGGACAGCGCUCCCUCCCCAAGCCUGAGAGUCCCUGCCUCGCGCGCCCCAGGGCCCGAGGUCCCGCUCCCCAAUUUCCCCUAGAGAUCCGGGUCGCCCCCAAGCGAGGUCUCUUGCUCCACGCCCGCUUCCUUGUGCCAGGGACCCCCACCUCCCUGCAUAAAGGCGUGGGGUCCUCUCCAAGUCCCCCUCGCGAUCCCACUGGACUUCGAAGUCAGGCUCCUGCCCGCCCACCGCCUCUGUGCCAGGGUCCAACCCCCGCCCCACGGUGCACCCCCCAGGGCCUGGGGUCCCAGUCCCCAAGUACCCCUUGCUAUCAGGUGGGCUUUAGGGUCAGGCCCCUGCCCCACCCCCAGCCUCUGUGCCAGGGACAGCUCCACAAUCAUGCACACCCCAGGGCCUGAGGUCCCUCUCCCCUAGUCUCUCCUAGCUCCCCUCUGGCUGGCUCCCGGCUUUGGGAUCAGGCCACCUCCUCCACGCCACCUCCUCCGCCCCACCCAAGGCCACAGACCCGGUCUCUGUGCCCCCAGCCAGAGACCUCUCUACCACAGUGGUGCUUCCAUGGCGAGGGCAGGCUCACACCAGCCAGAACCCUCCAUGUGGAGCCCCACCCUCUUCUGGGGUGCCUUUCCCCGCAACGGGCGUUGUCCACCUCUAAAGCCACCCUUGCCGGGCGCGGUGGCUCAUGCCUGUCAUCCCAGCAGUUUGGGAGGCCGAGGCGGGUGGAUCACGAGGUCAGGAGUUAGAGACCAGCCUGGCCAACAUGGUGAAACCCCCGACUCUACUAAAAAUACAAAAA